UCUUGCCUAUUUUCUUCCUAGCAAAAAAAUGAAUGUAUAUGCCCAAGUAGAAUUCCUCAACUUCAGCUGUGAUCUCUGUGAUCAGCUCAUCAUCUCUCCAUACCCUCUCCACAUGGAAGUCACCUCUUGUAUUUGUCACAAGAUCACACCAGGUUAACUAAGCCAGUAACCAUCAGCUGACCGUGGAAUGACAAUUGUGUGUUUCUUUCUCAGUUUUGCAUGGUCCCCAAUAAACUCAACGUGAGAUGCCUCUCCGAUUUCUUUCACAUCAGGGCACUUAACCUCUACCAGGCCACAGGGAGGUUCUUCAUUUGGGUCCAGUACUUUGCCAUCUGCACCAAGGUGUGGAGCAUCAAGGUGGAUGAUGAGACCAGAUGGAAGACAUUAACGUCAAAGGUCUCCUCAUAGCGGUGAAGAACCUCUGGCUCAAGUUUUAAUCCUCUACACAUCGCUCUCUAGAGACCCCGACAGAUGUUUACACACACUGUUUAAUGCAAGAUAUAAAUGCAUUUAACCUGCAAUUACAAAUACAUAAUGUUUUGAUGUUUUAAUCCCAAAAUGUUGAAUACUGAUAUUUGCAAUGAUAAAAGAAAGUGCUUUAAGAGGUGAAAUUUAAAAAACACCAAUAUCUAGACAAUCAUGAAUUGUAACAUCACUUCCUUUAAUGUUUUUACUAUACAGUUGAUAUGGAAUUUGUUUAAAUGUUACAUUUAAAAAAAAAAAAAGUGUUACAUAUUUAUAUGAAAUGCUUAUACAAAAUAAAUAUGUAGUUAACUUUAAAGUAUAUCUACAUUUCUUGCUUUCAAACAUGGUCAUAUGAAAAAUGUGCCUGGUAGAUUUCUGCCAUUUACUGGAAAACAUUUAAAAUUACAAUUUUAAACAAAAGCACUAUAUGAACAUUCUGAGUGAUUUUAUUACACAUAUACAAUCAGACAUCCCAAUUUCUGUUUUGGUAAAGUCAUUAAGUGUCAUGUCAUUUAGAUGAAUUAGAAUUUAAUUUAGGGUCCUGAAAUACCCUGAACACUGCACAGAGGUUAAGAUGACCAUUGCUACAUAAA
Carassius carassius (crucian carp) is the source of this 1058-nucleotide long non-coding RNA. RefSeq lists it as uncharacterized. The transcript has 2 exons. The record is from RefSeq and is a predicted model, not a curated record. NCBI's taxonomy places the organism in Eukaryota, Metazoa, Chordata, Actinopteri, Cypriniformes, Cyprinidae.